GAUGAAGAACGCAGUGAAAUGCGAUAAGUAGUGUGAAUUGCAGAAUUCAGUGAAUCAUCGAGUCUUUGAACGCACAUUGCGCCCCCUGGUAUUCCGGGGGGCAUGCCUGUCCGAGCGUCAUUGCUGCCCUCAAGCACGGCUUGUGUGUUGGGCCUCCGCCCCCCGGCUCCCGGGGGGCGGGCCCGAAAGGCAGCGGCGGCACCGCGUCCGGUCCUCGAGCGUAUGGGGCUUCGUCACCCGCUCCGUAGGCCCGGCCGGCGCCCGCCGGCGACCCCCCUCAAUCUUUCCAGGUUGACCUCGGAUCAGGUAGGGAUACCCGCUGAACUUAAGCAUAUCAAUAAGCGGAGGA
RNAcentral lists this unclassified non-coding RNA (349 nucleotides) under soil metagenome. RNAcentral describes it as "partial contains 5.8S ribosomal RNA, internal transcribed spacer 2, and large subunit ribosomal RNA". The stretch from base 1 to 120 matches the Rfam family "5.8S ribosomal RNA", at positions 35 to 154 of the family's 154-position model. The record is from RNAcentral.